Molecule: ribosomal RNA, 253 nt
Filed under: uncultured bacterium
Lineage: Bacteria
Description: partial 16S ribosomal RNA
Rfam family: Bacterial small subunit ribosomal RNA
Source: RNAcentral
UACAGAGGUCCCAAGCGUUGUUCGGAUUCACUGGGCGUAAAGGGUGCGUAGGCGGUCGGGUAAGUCUGAUGUGAAAUCUCCGGGCCUAACCCGGAAACUGCGUUGGAGACUGCCUGGCUAGAGGAAUGGAGGGGAGACUGGAAUACUUGGUGUAGCAGUGAAAUGCGUAGAUAUCAAGUGGAACACCAGUGGCGAAGGCGAGUCUCUGGACAUUAACUGACGCUGAGGAGCGAAAGCAUGGGGAGCGAACAGG